GGAUGUAGAUGCAUUAUGUGUUAUCCUAUUGAUUACCAGAGUUAAUUCAGCUGACCCAGCUGGGUGGGCAGAUGUUCCCUUCUUCCCUUAGUAUUCUGUAUUGGUCUUUCCUGAUGCUUAUACUCAAAUGAUUAAGACAACUUCCAGAUAGAUUAAUUGCUCUAGGAUGUUUGAGUAGUUGGGCUUCCUGGCUAGAGUACCCCCAACAAAUUGGAGCUGAAAGGGAUUGAAAUAGAGCUACCCAGUUAGAGGCAGCUGGCCUCUUUUU
This 268-nucleotide small nuclear RNA is filed under the name Equus caballus (horse). Its description in RNAcentral is "7SK RNA". It matches the Rfam family "7SK RNA". From Rfam's summary of the family: 7SK was discovered as an abundant small nuclear RNA in the mid-70s but a possible function has only recently been suggested. Two independent studies have found that 7SK RNA binds the CDK9/cyclin T complex (known as elongation factor P-TEFb). The record is from Rfam by way of RNAcentral. Lineage: Eukaryota; Metazoa; Chordata; Mammalia; Perissodactyla; Equidae.